Molecule: ribosomal RNA, 1516 nt
Filed under: human gut metagenome
Description: bacterial LSU rRNA
Rfam family: Bacterial large subunit ribosomal RNA
Source: RNAcentral
GCUAAGAAGAGAGAAUGCCGGAAUGAGUAGCGAGAGCAAGGUGGGAAUCCUUGCGGCCGAAUAUCCAAGGUUUCCAGAGUAAAGCUGAUCUGCUCUGGGUAAGUCGGGGCCUAAGGAGAGGCAGAGAUGCGUAUCCGAUGGACAGCAGGUUUAAGAUUCCUGCACCCCUUGUUAUCAGAACUGCGGGGACACGGGAAGGGAAGCAGAGCCGGGAAUGGAAAGCCCGGUGCAAGCGAAGUAGUCGCAGGGCUGGAAAAUCCGCCCUGCAUGAGACGAAGGCGUGAUGCGGAGCGAAAUGAAGUAGUGAAGCUGCGGCCCCUUCCUGUCGAGAAAAGCCGCUAUCGUGUAGCAAGGGCCCGUACCGUAAACCGACACAGGUGGAUGAGGAGAGGAUCCUAAGGCCGGCGGGAGAAGUGUUGUUAAGGAACUCGGCAAAAUGACUCCGUAACUUCGGGAGAAGGAGUGCUGCGCAAGCAGCCGCAGAGAAAUGGCCCAAGCAACUGUUUAGCAAAAACACAGGUCUAUGCGAAACCGGAAGGUGAGGUAUAUGGGCUGACGCCUGCCCGGUGCUGGAAGGUUAAGGGGAGAGCUUAGCGCGAGCGAAGGUUUGAACUUAAGCCCCAGUAAACGGCGGCCGUAACUAUAACGGUCCUAAGGUAGCGAAAUUCCUUGUCGGGUAAGUUCCGACCCGCACGAAAGGCGUAAUGAUUUGGGCACUGUCUCAACAACACACCCGGUGAAAUUGAAAUACCAGUGAAGAUGCUGGUUACCCGCGCCAGGACGGAAAGACCCCAUGGAGCUUUACUCCAGCCUGAUACUGGGAUUCGGUAUUGCAUGUACAGGAUAGGUGGGAGGCUGAGAACUCAUGGCGCCAGCCGUGAGGGAGCCGGUGUUGGGAUACCACCCCUGCAGUACUGGGUUUCUAACCUGCGCCCGUGACCCGGGCGGGGGACAAUGUCAGGCGGGGAGUUUGACUGGGGCGGUCGCCUCCGAAAGGGUAUCGGAGGCGCUCAAAGGUCUCCUCAGGAUGGUUGGAAACCAUCCAGAGAGUGCAAAGGCAGAAGGAGGCUUGACUGCGACACCGACGGGUGGAGCAGGUACGAAAGUAGGACUUAGUGAUCCGGUGGCAUAAAGUGGGAUUGCCAUCGCUCAACGGAUAAAAGCUACCCUGGGGAUAACAGGCUUAUCACUCCCAAGAGUUCACAUCGACGGAGUGGUUUGGCACCUCGAUGUCGGCUCAUCGCAUCCUGGAGCUGGAGCAGGUUCCAAGGGUUGGGCUGUUCGCCCAUUAAAGCGGUACGCGAGCUGGGUUCAGAACGUCGUGAGACAGUUCGGUCCCUAUCCGGCGCGGGCGCAGGAUAUCUGAGAGGAGCUGUCCUUAGUACGAGAGGACCGGGAUGGACCGUCCGCUGGUGGACCGGUUGUCAUGCCAAUGGCACGGCCGGGUAGCCAAGACGGGAAGGGAUAAACGCUGAAGGCAUCUAAGCGUGAAGCCCCCCUCAAGAUGAGAUAUCCA